UACGUAGGGGGCAAGCGUUGUCCGGAUUUAUUGGGCGUAAAGAGCGUGUAGGCGGCCAUACAGGUCAGCUGUGAAAACUCGAGGCUCAACCUCGAGACGUCGGUUGAAACCGUAUGGCUAGAGUCCGGAAGAGGAGAGUGGAAUUCCCGGUGUAGCGGUGAAAUGCGCAGAUAUCGGGAAGAACACCCAUGGCGAAGGCAGCAUUCUGGGCUUGACCUGACGCUGAGGCACGAAAGCCAGGGGAGCGAACGGG
This 253-nucleotide ribosomal RNA is filed under the name uncultured bacterium. RNAcentral's name for it is "partial 16S ribosomal RNA". It matches the Rfam family "Bacterial small subunit ribosomal RNA", at positions 524 to 776 of the family's 1533-position model. The record is from RNAcentral.